RNAcentral lists this ribosomal RNA (130 nucleotides) under Phrynobatrachus cricogaster (Nkongsamba river frog). RNAcentral describes it as "partial 16S ribosomal RNA". Lineage: Eukaryota; Metazoa; Chordata; Amphibia; Anura; Phrynobatrachidae. The record is from RNAcentral.
AGUUUUUGGCUGGGGCAUCCGAGGAGUAUAACAUAACCUCCCUGAUAAACAUCUUAGAACUACAAUUCCAAGAAACAGAAAACUGACGUAACGUGACCCGACAAUCGAUCAACGAACCAAGUUACCCUGG